RNAcentral lists this long non-coding RNA (569 nucleotides) under Ananas comosus (pineapple). Its description in RNAcentral is "long non-coding RNA (ACOM_LNC012992)". Lineage: Eukaryota; Viridiplantae; Streptophyta; Magnoliopsida; Poales; Bromeliaceae. The record is from RNAcentral.
ACAUGGAGGCUAUGAGUCUUGAGGUAUUUAGAUACUAAGGCUUCGUUUGGUUCGGGGUUAAGUAAAAAUUAAUUAUUUCAGGGAUAGAGUUAAGUUUAAGAUUACGGUGGGGUUAGAGUAAUUUUGUGUUUGGUUGAUAAUUGAAUUUAGUACAUAUAUAAGCAAAAUGGUGUUUGGUUAGAAUUAGUAGAAUAAGAAUGAUAGUGGAUAGUUAUACAUAGAAAAUAAUAAUAUUGCCCCAAUUAUUAUAUUUGAAUUUAAAUUUAAAAAUUAAAUAAUUAAAAAUAAUAAUUUAAAACUUAAAAUUUAAAAUUAUUUUAAAUCUCAAAUUUAAAAAUUUAAAGUUACAAAUAUAAAAUGUCAAAUUUAAAAUUUAAAUAAUUAAAAAUAAUAAUUUAAAAUUCAAAUUUAAAAUUUAAAAUUUAUAUUUAUAUUUUUAAAUCUCAAAUUUAAAGUUACAAAUAUAAAAUAUCAAAUUUAAAUUUUAAAUAAUUAAAAAAAAUAAUUUAAAGUUUUAAAUUUAAAAUUUUUAAUUUUUAAAAAUAAAUAUUAUUUUUAAAUUUUUAAAU